Molecule: ribosomal RNA, 306 nt
Filed under: Stenus brunnipes
Lineage: Eukaryota; Metazoa; Arthropoda; Insecta; Coleoptera; Staphylinidae
Description: partial 16S ribosomal RNA
Source: RNAcentral
AGGUAGCAUAAUCAAUAGUUUCUUAAUUAGAAGCUGGAAUGAAUGGAUAAACGAAAAAUUAACUAUCUUUUUUUAAAUAAUAGAAUUUUAUAUUUAAGUUAAAAAGCUUAAAUUUUAUUAAAAGACGAGAAGACCCUAUAGAGUUUCAUAUAUUUUAAAUUUUAUUAUAAAAAUUUAAUUUAAAAUAUAUUUUAUUGGGGUGAUAGAAAAAUUUAAUUAACUUUUAUUUAAUUUUAACAAUUAUAAUUGAUUUAAUGAUCCAUUAUUAUGAUUAUAAGAUUAAAUUACCUUAGGGAUAACAGCGUA